Molecule: non-coding RNA, 397 nt
Organism: Paramuricea clavata
Lineage: Eukaryota; Metazoa; Cnidaria; Anthozoa; Malacalcyonacea; Plexauridae
Source: the annotation of a GenBank genome assembly
CACACACUCAAUGGUCACACAUUUGUUUUAGCCCGGCCACAGUAAACCCAAGCUUUUCAUGCUCUGUGUUAUAUAAUCCGAAUAAAAUUUCUAUAAAAAUAUUUCCAAAUUAUUUACAGAAAUAAACAAUCUGUUAGGUGUUGUAUAUUAAGGUGAGUUUAACCAUUCAUGUGUAUAAGAAGACAGCUGGCAUAUAUAUAUAUAUAUAUAAACUAGACUGCAUACUCGUCCUCCAAAAUGGCCAGUAUUUUACACUAUAGAGCGGUUUGCUGAUUUCUCGAUAUCAGUCUGCUGCAGCGUUAUUUACCAGCUCCAUGCAUGCAGACAGAUUUUAUUGUGUAUUGACUGUCCAUUGUGGAUUUUUAACGAUUAUUAAUUAAUUAUAACAUUUAGUCAC